UGGUUCAGAGGGAUGGGAAAGCGGUGAGUCACGGGGUGAAGGCUUGCGCCACGGGAAACUUUGGUAAGGCCAAGCUAUGAGGCAACAAGAAGUGAAUCACAACGCUAGAAGACACCUUAGGCCUCAACUGAGGCCAAACCCUGGCUGACGGAUGGGGAAACUGAGGCCUCAAAGGGAGAGCAACUUGCUCGAGUUCACUUAGCAAGUGAACAAGCAGGAAUCAGGGGGUCUCCUCUCCCCCAGUCCCCUUUUCUCUCCACCAAGGAGGCUUUUCAACGAGAAUUCUGAGUUAAGGGGAUGGGGGAGAGGCCAAGGGCAGCUCACAGAUUCCACCGAGGAGCCGGGAGAGGGCACAGGUAGGACCAGGAAGCACAGAAAUGCUAGGAUGGGGGCAGAAAUGAGCCGCGGAGGAGGCAGGGGCAGUAGCUAGGCAGGUGGGUGAGGCCAAAGGGAGCAGAAAAAGGCGGAAGAGAAAGGGACAGAGUGCGGCCGGACGAAAGUGCUGUGAGAUUGGGUCUGAAGGGGCCUGGCGGGGUGGAGAGAGGGUGAGAGGAGAGAGCAGAGUAAGUCUGACGAUGGAAAAGUCCAGGGAUCGCGGAGACAUUGAAGGGAGUCGGAGAGGGGGUCCCAGAUCCGGCAAGAAGUCUGACCCGGAGAGUUCCAGGGUCAGACCAGACCCCGAGAAGCAAGAGGAACCUAAUACUCUUCCCCAUUGGCCUUCCUGUCUCCAUCUUUAUUCCUUCCAGUUCAUUCUCUGCAUGGUAAGCAGAGUCCCUCUCUGAUUCAUCAACCCACACUUCAAUCACAGAAAGUGGCUAAGAACCCAUGGAGGCAGGCUGCCCCAGCUGGAGUCCCAGCUCUGCAGCUUUCCUGGCUGUGUGAGCUUGGGUAAGGAAGUUUGCCCCUCUGGGCCUGGGUUUCCUCAGCUGUAAAAUAUGGAAAGUAACAGCACUCACAUGACAGGCUGAGGCGAUGUGACUGUAAAUAGCCUGGCACAGUGUUCCUCGUGUGGAGAAGCUGGAAGCAUCAGCCAUGAUCAUUACCCACCUACUCCUCCAAGACCUCUGGUCAUCCUGGAACAUCCGCCGGCCCAGAACAGAGCAGGCCCGGCACUGUCCCACCCCAAGGUGUUUGUGCACGCCCUGCUCUCCUCUGGCACACCUUCCCCAUCCAUCCACCCAUCAAAGCACCCCAGGCCAAGGCCCAGCUCCAGGGGCAUCCCCUCUGACUUCCUGUCCCCACCAGUCCCCCUUGGGCCUUUGUGCAGGCUGGUACACUUUCACACCUCACCCCCACCAACUCUGUCCCUCCUGCCGCCUCACACCCUUCCUGAGGACAUGGGAAGCUGGGCCUGGCUCUGGGCUCCAGCCCUGAGUUCCAACACAGAUGACUGAGGGACCUGCCAGCCUUCAAAACAAUUCAGUCAUCAAAUGGAGUUGAUAGCCCAGAAGGGUGGCUGUGAAGAUAAACAGAAAACACUAAUCAAGGCCCUUUUCUCCUUCCUGCCUCCUCAUGAGCCUGAUCCACCUCCCACCUGGACCAGCUGAGGGGGAGGAGGAAGCACUGGACAUGGGGACACUGAUGGCCUCCAGAUGCCCACGCAAGAGGAAUUUCUGAUCUUGAUUACAAUGGAUUUGGAGGUGGCUAACAAUCCCGAAUUCCCACAAGUGAG
Long non-coding RNA from Piliocolobus tephrosceles (Ugandan red Colobus), 1672 nucleotides. RefSeq lists it as uncharacterized. The record is from RefSeq and is a predicted model, not a curated record. The transcript has 3 exons. NCBI's taxonomy places the organism in Eukaryota, Metazoa, Chordata, Mammalia, Primates, Cercopithecidae.